This 400-nucleotide ribosomal RNA is filed under the name uncultured bacterium. RNAcentral's name for it is "bacterial SSU rRNA". It matches the Rfam family "Bacterial small subunit ribosomal RNA", at positions 28 to 415 of the family's 1533-position model. The record is from RNAcentral.
AAUCAACGCUGGCGGCGUGCCUAACACAUGCAAGUCGAACGCGAAAGUCCCGCAAGGGAUGAGUAGCGUGGCGAACGGGUGAGUAACGCGUGGGUGACCUGCCGUCGAGUGGGGGAUAACGUCUCGAAAGGGACGCUAAUACCGCAUGACAUCCGGCCUUUGGAGAGGCGGAGAUCAAAGCUGGGGAUCGCAAGACCUGGCGCUCGACGAGGGGCCCGCGUCCGAUUAGCUGGUUGGUGGGGUAAUGGCCUACCAAGGCGACGAUCGGUAGCCGGCCUAAGAGGGCGGACGGCCACACUGGGACUGAGACACGGCCCAGACUCCUACGGGAGGCAGCAGUGGGGAAUUGUUCGCAAUGGGCGCAAGCCUGACGACGCAACGCCGCGUGGAGGACGAAGGC